AAAGAGAAGCGGAACUAAGUCCCGCCGGAAUUUUGUGUUCCCCUCGGGACGGUGUCGCGGUAACACCGGUCCACUUCCGGGUUGCGCCCGAUGUCACAAUAACAACGCUAAUGACCGAUUGACAUCUGGUGUGGGGGGUUUGAUGUGGCGAUCUGUGAGAGGAUUAUGGAGGCGGAGUAACCACAUAAAAAGAGGAGUGCAGAGACCAUACGGGAGAUUCUAUUUGGUCGUUCGUUCUCCCGGCUAUUCUUCCUGGUUGGCUUGCCCCCGUGUGUGGUUCUUCUCUUUGGAUGUGUUCCCCUAGGAGAAGUGAAUUCCUGGGACGUUUGGGCUGGCGUGUGGAGGUAUUUGAGGACUAUUGUGGGGUUUCGGCUAUCUGGCUGUGCGACAGAUAUAUCAGCGAUCGAGUGGAGAUAUUCAGGACAGAAAGAGUGUGAGUUCUGGAAAGCAAGUGAAGACCAGGCCGCGCCAUCACUAUCGGAGGGAAGUUAAGAGACCUGAUCUGGGACUUCGAUCAAUUGUAUACAUCUGGACUGGGAGUGAUAACGUGUGAAGUGGACGGAGCCAUCGUUGGGUGAGUGCUGGCUCUAUUUGCACUAAGAGUGGGUGUGCCGUGUCUGAAGUGGUGUGUUUGCACAAUAAAUCGUUUGAAGUGAAGUUACAGAGUGUGGGGAAGAUAUAUAGAGUUAAUGCCGGACGCUCAUCACCCCGAGAGCCCACCACCGUCACCGUAAUCCACACCCAGGCACUCAAUUGAAGUAUCCCCAAGCCGUAAGCCCCAUUUCUUAUUCAAGAACACAUACAUGCUGUUGAUUACUUAUCCCGCUGUGUAGAUCGCAGGAUCCUCUGGGCCGAGCGCCGCAUGUGAUGUCCCUAUGAAAGGAGGUGGACACACGAAUCAUUCCUUUCCCGGUUUUAACCGAAGCAUCUCCCAGCCGUAAGCCCCACUACUUAUUCAAGAACACAUACUUACUGUUGAUUACUUACUCUGCUGUGCAGAUCGCAGGAUCCUCUGGGCCGAAUACUGUAUGUGAUGUCCCUGUAGAAAGAGGUGGACACACGAAUUAUUCCUUUUCCGGUCUUAACCGAAGCAUCUCCCAGCCGUAAGCCCCACUACUUAUUCAAGAACACAUACUUACUGUUGAUUACUUACUCUGCUGUGCAGAUCGCAGGAUCCUCUGGGCCGAAUACUGUAUGUGAUGUCCCUGUAGAAAGAGGUGGACACACGAAUUAUUCCUUUUCCGGUCUUACCCGAAGCAUCUCCCAGCCGUAAGCCCCACUACUUAUUCAAGAACACAUACUUACUGUUGAUUACUUACUCUGCUGUGCAGAUCGCAGGAUCCUCUGGGCCGAAUACUGUAUGUGAUGUCCCUGUAGAAAGAGGUGGACACACGAAUUAUUCCUUUUCCGGUCUUACCCGAAGCAUCUCCCAGCCGUAAGCCCCACUACUUAUUCAAGAACACAUACUUACUGUUGAUUACUUACUCUGCUGUGCAGAUCGCAGGAUCCUCUGGGCCGAAUACUGUAUGUGAUGUCCCUGUAGAAAGAGGUGGACACACGAAUUAUUCCUUUUCCGGUCUUAACCGAAGCAUCUCCCAGCCGUAAGCCCCACUACUUAUUCAAGAACACAUACUUACUGUUGAUUACUUACUCUGCUGUGCAGAUCGCAGGAUCCUCUGGGCCGAACGCCGUAUGUGAUGUCCCUAUGAAAAGAGGUGGACACAAGAAUUAUUCCUUUCCCGGUCACAACCGAAGCAUCUCCCAGCCGUAAGCCCCAUUACUUAUGCAAGAACACAUACUUGCUGUUGAUUACUUACUCUGCUGUGCAGAUCGCAGGAUCCUCUGGGCCGAACGCCGUAUGUGAUGUCCCUAUGAAAAGAGGUGGACACAAGAAUUAUUCCUUUCCCGGUCACAACCGAAGCAUCUCCCAGCCGUAAGCCCCAUUACUUAUGCAAGAACACAUACUUGCUGUUGAUUACUUACUCUGCUGUGCAGAUCGCAGGAUCCUCUGGGCCGAACGCCGUAUGUGAUGUCCCUAUGAAAAGAGGUGGACACAAGAAUUAUUCCCUUUCCCGGUCUCGACCGAAACAUCCACGAGCUCUACUUACCCGGAUACCCCCCCUCACUCCGGGACGGGUGACAGACUAUCCUGGCUCUUGC
Long non-coding RNA from Carassius gibelio (silver crucian carp), 2160 nucleotides. RefSeq lists it as uncharacterized. The record is from RefSeq and is a predicted model, not a curated record. Lineage: Eukaryota; Metazoa; Chordata; Actinopteri; Cypriniformes; Cyprinidae. The transcript has 3 exons.